UUGAAAGGGAAACGAUUGAAGUCAGUCGCACCUAUGGGUAAUCAGCCCUUUGGGUGUGAUUUUGUGGAGCGUGAGGAGUUAAACGCCUUCAUGCCUGCAUAUUCGUGCACUUUGGGUGUACUUGCCCGUGUGUAAGUUAACAUCAAUUUUGAUGGUCAUAAAAUGGCUAGAGGAAUGUAGCUUCGAUCUUGUAUUGAAGUGUUAUAGCCUUCGGUAGAUGUGACGAUCGGGAUUGAGGAUUGCAACGGAUACCCUUCGGGGCUACCUGUCUGAUCUCUGAUUGUUGCUCUGGUACCGAAAGCUUGCUUACGGUUAUCAAAGUCGAUGGUCAAUAGGUUAGAACGGGUUAAAUUCGUUAAGGAUGUUGACGUA
RNAcentral lists this ribosomal RNA (372 nucleotides) under uncultured Glomeromycotina. RNAcentral's name for it is "LSU rRNA". The record is from RNAcentral. Lineage: Eukaryota; Fungi; Glomeromycota.